RNAcentral lists this ribosomal RNA (472 nucleotides) under uncultured Bacillus sp. RNAcentral's name for it is "bacterial SSU rRNA". It matches the Rfam family "Bacterial small subunit ribosomal RNA", at positions 897 to 1382 of the family's 1533-position model. Lineage: Bacteria; Bacillati; Bacillota; Bacilli; Caryophanales; Bacillaceae. The record is from RNAcentral.
AAACUUAAAGGAAUUGACGGGACCCCGCACAAGCAGCGGAGCGUGUGGUUUAAUUCGAGGCUACACGAAGAACCUUACCAGGGUUUGACAUGAAAGUACGUUUUCACCCUCGGGUGACAGGGAGACAGGUGGUGCAUGGUUGUCGUCAGCUCGUGUCGUGAGAUGUUGGGUUAAGUCCCGCAACGAGCGCAACCCCUACGUUUAGUUGCUAACGCGUGAAGGCGAGCACUCUAGACGAACUGCCGUUGACAAAACGGAGGAAGGUGGGAUGACGUCAAAUCAUCAUGCCCCUUAUGUUCUGGGCUACACACGUGCUACAAUGGCCGGUACAGACGGACGCAAAGCCGCGAGGUGGAGCAAAUCCUAAAAAGCCGGUCUCAGUUCGGAUUGCAGGCUGCAAUUCGCCUGCAUGAAGUCGGAAUCGCUAGUAAUCGCAGGUCAGCAUACUGCGGUGAAUACGUUCCCGGGCCUU